GCGGACGGGUGAGUAACACGUGGAUAACCUACCUAUAAGACUGGGAUAACUUCGGGAAACCGGAGCUAAUACCGGAUAAUAUAUUGAACCGCAUGGUUCAAUAGUGAAAGACGGUUUUGCUGUCACUUAUAGAUGGAUCCGCGCCGCAUUAGCUAGUUGGUAAGGUAACGGCUUACUAAGGCAACGAUGCGUAGCCGACCUGAGAGGGUGAUCGGCCACACUGGAACUGAGACACGGUCCAG
Molecule: ribosomal RNA, 242 nt
Filed under: uncultured Staphylococcus sp.
Lineage: Bacteria; Bacillati; Bacillota; Bacilli; Caryophanales; Staphylococcaceae
Description: partial 16S ribosomal RNA
Rfam family: Bacterial small subunit ribosomal RNA
Source: RNAcentral